RNAcentral lists this ribosomal RNA (253 nucleotides) under uncultured Gemmata sp. RNAcentral describes it as "partial 16S ribosomal RNA". It matches the Rfam family "Bacterial small subunit ribosomal RNA", at positions 524 to 776 of the family's 1533-position model. The record is from RNAcentral. Lineage: Bacteria; Pseudomonadati; Planctomycetota; Planctomycetia; Gemmatales; Gemmataceae.
GACGAACCGUGCGAACGUUGUUCGGAAUCACUGGGCUUAAAGGGCGCGUAGGCGGCCGUUCAAGUCUGGGGUGAAAGCCCCCGGCUCAACCGGGGAAUUGCCUGGGAUACUGGACGGCUCGAGGGAGGUAGGGGCACGCGGAACGGCCAGUGGAGCGGUGAAAUGCGUUGAUAUUGGCAGGAACGCCGGUGGCGAAAGCGGCGUGCUGGAUCUCUCCUGACGCUGAGGCGCGAAAGCUAGGGGAGCAAACGGG